GACGAACGCCGGCGGCGUGCCUAAUACAUGCAAGUAGAACGCUGAAGCUUGGUGCUUGCACCGAGCGGAUGAGUUGCGAACGGGUGAGUAACGCGUAGGUAACCUGCCUGGUAGCGGGGGAUAACUAUUGGAAACGAUAGCUAAUACCGCAUAAAAUUGAUUAUCGCAUGACAAUCAAUUGAAAGGUGCAAAUGCAUCACUACCAGAUGGACCUGCGUUGUAUUAGCUAGUUGGUGGGGUAACGGCUCACCAAGGCGACGAUACAUAGCCGACCUGAGAGGGUGAUCGGCCACACUGGGACUGAGACACGGCCCAGACUCCUACGGGAGGCAGCAGUAGGGAAUCUUCGGCAAUGGACGGAAGUCUGACCGAGCAACGCCGCGUGAGUGAAGAAGGUUUUCGGAUCGUAAAGCUCUGUUGUAAGAGAAGAACGAGUGUGAGAGUGGAAAGUUCACACUGUGAC
This 463-nucleotide ribosomal RNA is filed under the name Streptococcus sp. oral taxon 070. Its description in RNAcentral is "bacterial SSU rRNA". It matches the Rfam family "Bacterial small subunit ribosomal RNA", at positions 28 to 473 of the family's 1533-position model. The record is from RNAcentral. Lineage: Bacteria; Bacillati; Bacillota; Bacilli; Lactobacillales; Streptococcaceae.